ACCCCUACGGGGCGCAGCAGUGGGGAAUAUUGGGCAAUGGGCGCAAGCCUGACCCAGCAAUGCCGCGUGAAGGAAGAAGGCUUUCGGGUUGUAAACUUCUUUGACAGGGGAAGAGCAGAAGACGGUACCCUGAAAACAAGCCACGGCUAACUACGUGCCAGCAGCCGCGGUAAUACGUAGGUGGCAAGCGUUAUCCGGAUUUACUGGGUGUAAAGGGAGCGUAGACGGCUAUGCAAGUCUGGAGUGAAAGGCGGGGGCCCAACCCCCGGACUGCUCUGGAAACUGUAGAGCUAGAGUGC
Molecule: ribosomal RNA, 299 nt
Filed under: uncultured bacterium
Lineage: Bacteria
Description: partial 16S ribosomal RNA
Rfam family: Bacterial small subunit ribosomal RNA
Source: RNAcentral